Molecule: ribosomal RNA, 468 nt
Filed under: uncultured bacterium
Lineage: Bacteria
Description: partial 16S ribosomal RNA
Rfam family: Bacterial small subunit ribosomal RNA
Source: RNAcentral
GACGAACGCUGGCGGCGUGCUUAACACAUGCAAGUCGAACGGAAAGGCCCGGCGCUUGUGGGUUGCUCGAGAGGCGAAGGGGGGAGUAACACGUGAGUAACAUGCCCUUGACUGUCGGAGAACUUCAGGAAACUGGGGCUAAUACCGGAUAGGAUCUCCUGCUGCAUGGUGGGGGUUGGAAAGUGUCGGCGGUGGGGGAUGGACUCGCUGCUUAUCAGCUUGUUGGUGGGGUAGUGGCUUACCAAGGCUUUGACGGAUAGCCGGCCUGAGAGCGUGACCGGCCACCAUGCGACUGAGAGAGGGAGCAGUAUCCAACGGGACGCAGCAGUGGGAAGUAUUGCGCAACGGGCGGGAGCGUGAUGCAGAGACGCCGCGUUCGGAAUGAUGUGUUUCGGGUUGUGAACCACUUUGGCCGGUGAUGAAGCCUGCGUGACGGUAAUGGGUCAAGAAGCACCGGCUAACUACGUG